This 207-nucleotide ribosomal RNA is filed under the name uncultured bacterium. Its description in RNAcentral is "partial 16S ribosomal RNA". It matches the Rfam family "Bacterial small subunit ribosomal RNA", at positions 568 to 774 of the family's 1533-position model. The record is from RNAcentral.
CAUGUAGGCGGUUGUUUAAGUCUGAUGUGGAAGCCCCGGGCUCAACCCGGGAAGUGCAUUGGAUACUGGAUAACUUGAGUACGGGAGAGGAAAGUGGAAUUUCGAGUGUAGGGGUGAAAUCCGUAGAUAUCCGAAGGAACACCAGUGGCGAAGGCGGCUUUCUGGACCGAUACUGACGCUGAGAUGCGAAAGCGUGGGGAGCAAACA